GUAAAGUACUUUCAGUCGUGAGGAAGGUGGUGUUGUUAAUAGCAGCAUCAUUUGACGUUAGCGACAGAAGAAGCACCGGCUAACUCCGUGCCAGCAGCCGCGGUAAUACGGAGGGUGCGAGCGUUAAUCGGAAUUACUGGGCGUAAAGCGCAUGCAGGUGGUGGAUUAAGUCAGAUGUGAAAGCCCGGGGCUCAACCUCGGAACCACAUUUGAAACUGGUUCACUAGAGUACUGUAGAGGGGGGUAGAAUUUCAGGUGUAGCGGUGAAAUGCGUAGAGAUCUGAAGGAAUACCGGUGGCGAAGGCGGCCCCCUGGACAGAUACUGACACUCAGAUGCGAAAGCGUGGGGAGCAAACAGGAUUAGAUACCCUGGUAGUCCACGCCGUAAACGAUGUCUACUUGGAGGUUGUGGCCUUAAGCCGUGGCUUUCGGAGCUAACGCGUUAAGUAGACCGCCUGGGGAGUACGGUCGCAAGAUUAAAACUCAAAUGAAUUGACGGGGGCCCGCACAAGCGGUGGAGCAUGUGGUUUAAUUCGAUGCAACGCGAAGAACCUUACCUACUCUUGACAUCCAGAGAAGCCAGCGGAGACGCAGGUGUGCCUUCGGGAGCUCUGAGACAGGUGCUGCAUGGCUGUCGUCAGCUCGUGUUGUGAAAUGUUGGGUUAAGUCCCGCAACGAGCGCAACCCUUAUCCUUGUUUGCCAGCGAGUCAUGUCGGGAACUCCAGGGAGACUGCCGGUGAUAAACCGGAGGAAGGUGGGGACGACGUCAAGUCAUCAUGGCCCUUACGAGUAGGGCUACACACGUGCUACAAUGGCGCAUACAGAGGGCAGCAAGCUAGCGAUAGUGAGCGAAUCCCAAAAAGUGCGUCGUAGUCCGGAUUGGAGUCUGCAACUCGACUCCAUGAAGUCGGAAUCGCUAGUAAUCGUAGAUCAGAAUGCUACGGUGAAUACGUUCCCGGGCCUUGUACACACCGCCCGUCACACCAUGGGAGUGGGCUGCAAAAGAAGUGGGUAGUUUAACCUUUCGAGGAGGACGCUCACCACUUUGUGGUUCAUGACUGGGGUGAAGUCGUAACAAGGUAACC
Molecule: ribosomal RNA, 1086 nt
Filed under: Vibrio anguillarum
Lineage: Bacteria; Pseudomonadati; Pseudomonadota; Gammaproteobacteria; Vibrionales; Vibrionaceae
Description: bacterial SSU rRNA
Rfam family: Bacterial small subunit ribosomal RNA
Source: RNAcentral